This is a non-coding RNA of Pelobates cultripes (western spadefoot toad), 490 nucleotides long. NCBI's taxonomy places the organism in Eukaryota, Metazoa, Chordata, Amphibia, Anura, Pelobatidae. The record is from the annotation of a GenBank genome assembly.
AUUUUAAGUAUUGUGUUUAGCUAUAUCUUUCAAGUAGUUCAACAUGUCACAUAUCUUUAAUUACUAUACAAGCACAAUGAUCAAAUGAUUAAAAACUGCCCUUUUUUAAUUAUUAUUUUUUAAAGGGACACACCACCCAAAACAAUUUCAUCUCAAUUAAGUUGCUAUUUGGACUGGAGUCCCAGUGCACCAUCUUACCUUAUGGCAUUAAAAUGCUUUAGAACGGUUUAAUACCAAAUCUGUGUCCCCUGGUUUCUGCCUGUAGGGCCUCAUAACUGGUUUCAGUGGCUGCGAUAUCGAUAAAGGAUUGGGAUGGCGACAGUUGAUAUUCUCAGACAAUUGCUGGCUGCCCAUUGCACGUAACAUUACACACAAACAUGUAACAAUUGGGGGGGCAGAUACUGACUGCCUAACUGACCAGACCUGCUCUGCAAGAACUCCGGAGUCUGGUUCUGAAAAACGGGGGCUACUCCCUGGCCACUCAGUUUUG